Molecule: long non-coding RNA, 1303 nt
Organism: Homo sapiens (human)
Lineage: Eukaryota; Metazoa; Chordata; Mammalia; Primates; Hominidae
Exons: 3
Source: RefSeq, a predicted model, not a curated record
UUACACAGGGCGAGACGGAGGCUGGCCAAGGCCAGGGGUCAGAGCCAAGGUGCCCAGGGUCCCCUGUCUGCCUGGCCCCGACAGACUGCCCUGGCAGGCAAGCAGCAGCCCCUCCUCUGGUGUGGGGCAGGCACCCAAGCUCUGGGACCUGUCCUGACACUGGGGCCUUGAGGCCAGGUGGCUGGGAGGGCGGUGUCCAGGCAGGUGGGGCUGGACGCCAGAUGAGCUUCCACACAGCUGCUGGCACAGCUGGGUCCCCAGCUUCCCAGGCCUGGAACACAGCUGGCCAUGUGAGCACAGGUCCCCAGCACCGGGGCAGCCUCACAGCCACCCACCCCGACCCUGCUAGGCUCCACGGGGAAAGGAGCCCACUGCAGCUGGGGGCCUUCAGGGACCCCCCCACACCCACAGGAAAAGCCCCUUAGCCUGGCCUGGCACAGGGGCUGCAGGGUCUGGCACUCAGGACAGCCACCGCUGCCUGGUCACCCUCACUGAGGCUGCAAUCGCCCCUUGUUCCCCCAAAGCCCCCAACCCCAGCAUCUCCAUGCUGGCUGGGACCCCGCCUUGGGUACCUGCGGGCGCCGCCUCCACCCCAGGCCGGGCUGAGCUCUAACAUCCCCGUGGCUCCGCGCUGGGUGAUCUGUCCCCAGCCAGACCAUGCAAGCUCUGGUGGGGACUGGCCCCCCUAGUCUCGGGGCCCCCGUGCUCAGCCCAGAACAAGCCCACAAGGGCCGCAGGAGACCCUUGGUGAAUGCUCAAGAAGCUGCAGGUGGACCGGCCACCAGGAGAAAAGCCAGAGCCCGACAAGGCAGCUGGGGCUCCCCCAACCCCUCAGGCUUGGGCUGGAACUCUGGGCACCACGCAGACUGAUGCCCCAUGGCCACAGGCAGACCAGGGCCCAGGACGGAGAAGUUCAGCUCCAGAAGCAGGCAACACUGCAGCCCAGGGAACCACCCGGAGGCUGACCAGCCUUCCCGUACAAGCCAUCAGAAAGGGGAGGCCACCCGGGUGCCCACCAGCGGGUGAUGAAGACAGACAUGGAGGACGACAGCGAGGAGGAACCUCAAACCUCGUGCUGUGUGAAAGGAGCCCAUCUCGAGAGGUCACACAGUGUAGGAUAGGGCGUACCAGCUGGCGGGUCUGGGGUCUCCUGGGAGGGUGAGGAAAAUGUCUCGGAAUGAGAUAAAGGUGAUGGCUGCAUAGCACGAUGAAUGCACAAAGGGUCGCUAUGUUUCAAAGGGGUUAUUUUAUGCAAUGUGAAUUUCACCUUCAUUUAAGAAAAAAGAGAAAAACGUCAUCCCAA